UUGCACGCUGGCGGCAGGCCUCACACCUGCCAGUCGAGCGGAUGAAGGGAGCUUGCUCCUGGAUUCAGCGACGGACGGGUGAGUAAUGCCUAGGAAUCUGCCUGGUAGUGGGGGAUAACGUCCGGAAACGGGCGCUAAUACCGCAUACGUCCUGAGGGAGAAAGUGGGGGAUCUUCGGACCUCACGCUAUCAGAUGAGCCUAGGUCGGAUUAGCUAGUUGGUGGGGUAAAGGCCUACCAAGGCGACGAUCCGUAACUGGUCUGAGAGGAUGAUCAGUCACACUGGAACUGAGACACGGUCCAGACUCCUACGGGAGGCAGCAGUGGGGAAUAUUGGACAAUGGGCGAAAGCCUGAUCCAGCCAUGCCGCGUGUGUGAAGAAGGUCUUCGGAUUGUAAAGCACUUUAAGUUGGGAGGAAGGGCAGUAAGUUAAUACCUUGCUGUUUUGACGUUACCAACAGAAUAAGCACCGGCUAACUUCGUG
Molecule: ribosomal RNA, 483 nt
Filed under: uncultured bacterium
Lineage: Bacteria
Description: partial 16S ribosomal RNA
Rfam family: Bacterial small subunit ribosomal RNA
Source: RNAcentral